Molecule: ribosomal RNA, 1085 nt
Filed under: Salmonella enterica subsp. enterica serovar Enteritidis
Lineage: Bacteria; Pseudomonadati; Pseudomonadota; Gammaproteobacteria; Enterobacterales; Enterobacteriaceae
Description: partial 23S ribosomal RNA
Rfam family: Bacterial large subunit ribosomal RNA
Source: RNAcentral
UGCGAUAAGCGCCGGUAAGGUGAUAUGAACCGUUAUAACCGGCGAUACCCGAAUGGGGAAACCCAGUGUGAUUCGUCACACUAUCAUUAACUGAAUCCAUAGGUUAAUGAGGCGAACCGGGGGAACUGAAACAUCUAAGUACCCCGAGGAAAAGAAAUCAACCGAGAUUCCCCCAGUAGCGGCGAGCGAACGGGGAGGAGCCCAGAGCCUGAAUCAGCAUGUGUGUUAGUGGAAGCGUCUGGAAAGGCGCGCGAUACAGGGUGACAGCCCCGUACACAAAAGCGCAUGUGCUGUGAGCUCGAUGAGUAGGGCGGGACACGUGGUAUCCUGUCUGAAUAUGGGGGGACCAUCCUCCAAGGCUAAAUACUCCUGACUGACCGAUAGUGAACCAGUACCGUGAGGGAAAGGCGAAAAGAACCCCGGCGAGGGGAGUGAAAAAGAACCUGAAACCGUGUACGUACAAGCAGUGGGAGCACAGGUUUACCUGUGUGACUGCGUACCUUUUGUAUAAUGGGUCAGCGACUUAUAUUCUGUAGCAAGGUUAACCGAAUAGGGGAGCCGGAGGGAAACCGAGUCUUAAUUGGGCGUUAAGUUGCAGGGUAUAGACCCGAAACCCGGUGAUCUAGCCAUGGGCAGGUUGAAGGUUGGGUAACACUAACUGGAGGACCGAACCGACUAAUGUUGAAAAAUUAGCGGAUGACCUGUGGCUGGGGGUGAAAGGCCAAUCAAACCGGGAGAUAGCUGGUUCUCCCCGAAAGCUAUUUAGGUAGCGCCUCGUGAAUUCAUCUCCGGGGGUAGAGCACUGUUUCGGCUAGGGGGCCAUCCCGGCUUACCAACCCGAUGCAAACUGCGAAUACCGGAGAAUGUUAUCACGGGAGACACACGGCGGGUGCUAACGUCCGUCGUGAAGAGGGAAACAACCCAGACCGCCAGCUAAGGUCCCAAAGUCAUGGUUAAGUGGGAAACGAUGUGGGAAGGCCCAGACAGCCAGGAUGUUGGCUUAGAAGCAGCCAUCAUUUAAAGAAAGCGUAAUAGCUCACUGGUCGAGUCGGCCUGCGCGGAAGAUGUAACGGGGCUAAACCAUG